GUCGAGCGGAACGACACUAACAAUCCUUCGGGUGCGUUAAUGGGCGUCGAGCGGCGGACGGGUGAGUAAUGCCUAGGAAAUUGCCUUGAUGUGGGGGAUAACCAUUGGAAACGAUGGCUAAUACCGCAUAAUGCCUACGGGCCAAAGAGGGGGACCUUCGGGCCUCUCGCGUCAAGAUAUGCCUAGGUGGGAUUAGCUAGUUGGUGAGGUAAUGGCUCACCAAGGCGACGAUCCCUAGCUGGUCUGAGAGGAUGAUCAGCCACACUGGAACUGAGACACGGUCCAGACUCCUACGGGAGGCAGCAGUGGGGAAUAUUGCACAAUGGGCGAAAGCCUGAUGCAGCCAUGCCGCGUGUAUGAAGAAGGCCUUCGGGUUGUAAAGUACUUUCAGUUGUGAGGAAGGGGGUAACGUUAAUAGCGUUAUCUCUUGACGUUAGCAACAGAAGAAGCACCGGCUAACUCCGUGCCAGCAGCCGCGGUAAUACGGAGGGUGCGAGCGUUAAUCGGAAUUACUGGGCGUAAAGCGCAUGCAGGUGGUUCAUUAAGUCAGAUGUGAAAGCCCGGGGCUCAACCUCGGAACUGCAUUUGAAACUGGUGAACUAGAGUGCUGUAGAGGGGGGUAGAAUUUC
This 629-nucleotide ribosomal RNA is filed under the name bacterium W15S47. RNAcentral describes it as "bacterial SSU rRNA". It matches the Rfam family "Bacterial small subunit ribosomal RNA", at positions 61 to 670 of the family's 1533-position model. The record is from RNAcentral.